This 330-nucleotide unclassified non-coding RNA is filed under the name soil metagenome. RNAcentral's name for it is "partial contains 5.8S ribosomal RNA, internal transcribed spacer 2, and large subunit ribosomal RNA". The stretch from base 1 to 120 matches the Rfam family "5.8S ribosomal RNA", at positions 35 to 154 of the family's 154-position model. The record is from RNAcentral.
GAUGAAGAACGUAGCAAAAUGCGAUAAGUAAUGUGAAUUGCAGAAUUCAGUGAAUCAUCGAAUCUUUGAACGCACAUUGCGCCCGCCAGUAUUCUGGCGGGCAUGCCUGUUCGAGCGUCAUUUCAACCCUCAAGCACAGCUUGGUGUUGGGACUCGCGUUAAUUCGCGUUCCCCAAAUUGAUUGGCGGUCACGUCAAGCUUCCAUAGCGUAGUAGUAAAACCCUCGUUACUGGUAAUCGUCGCGGCCACGCCGUUAAACCCCAACUUCUGAAUGUUGACCUCGGAUCAGGUAGGAAUACCCGCUGAACUUAAGCAUAUCAAUAAGCGGAG